This 354-nucleotide ribosomal RNA is filed under the name Triticum aestivum (bread wheat). Its description in RNAcentral is "partial small subunit ribosomal RNA". The record is from RNAcentral. Lineage: Eukaryota; Viridiplantae; Streptophyta; Magnoliopsida; Poales; Poaceae.
AUGUGUGCCGGCGAGAGAACAUGGGUUGACGGCGGCGGAAAUGCAUGCGGUGCGGUCAGGACUCAGCAAGACGUUGGGUUAAACACUAACGACAGGAAGGAGAAGAUAAUGGCGAAGAAGAAACCCGGUGUGCAUUCGAGCCGAGGCCGGUGGGAGCCUGGUAAUGCUGCUGCGCAGGCGGCAAUGGCGCGCCACCGGGCCGCAUCAGGUGAGGACAACAGCUGGGCGUUUGUGAUCCAGCUCGAGGCCCAUUUGCCGGUCCGGCUCCGUGCUGCGGGCUGUGUGUUGCCACUGGUGCGGAUUACUUUGUCUGAAACCAAAGACACAGAUAACGCCCCAACGUUCGUUUUUUGA